This 465-nucleotide ribosomal RNA is filed under the name Vreelandella stevensii. RNAcentral describes it as "partial 16S ribosomal RNA". It matches the Rfam family "Bacterial small subunit ribosomal RNA", at positions 338 to 795 of the family's 1533-position model. Lineage: Bacteria; Pseudomonadati; Pseudomonadota; Gammaproteobacteria; Oceanospirillales; Halomonadaceae. The record is from RNAcentral.
CCUACGGGUGGCUGCAGUGGGGAAUAUUGGACAAUGGGGGCAACCCUGAUCCAGCCAUGCCGCGUGUGUGAAGAAGGCCCUCGGGUUGUAAAGCACUUUCAGUGAGGAAGAACGCCUGGUGGUUAAUACCCAUCAGGAAAGACAUCACUCACAGAAGAAGCACCGGCUAACUCCGUGCCAGCAGCCGCGGUAAUACGGAGGGUGCGAGCGUUAAUCGGAAUUACUGGGCGUAAAGCGCGCGUAGGUGGCUUGAUAAGCCGGUUGUGAAAGCCCCGGGCUCAACCUGGGAACGGCAUCCGGAACUGUCAAGCUAGAGUGCAGGAGAGGAAGGUAGAAUUCCCGGUGUAGCGGUGAAAUGCGUAGAGAUCGGGAGGAAUACCAGUGGCGAAGGCGGCCUUCUGGACUAACACUGACACUGAGGUGCGAAAGCGUGGGUAGCAAACAGGAUUAGAUACCCGUGUAGUC